AAUUUUGGACAAUGGGGGCAACCCUGAUCCAGCCAUGCCGCGUGAGUGAAGAAGGCCUUCGGGUUGUAAAGCUCUUUCGGACGGAACGAAACGGUUAGCGUGAAUAGCGCUGACUAAUGACGGUACCGUAAGAAGAAGCACCGGCUAACUACGUGCCAGCAGCCGCGGUAAUACGUAGGUGGCAAGCGUUGUCCGGAUUUAUUGGGUUUAAAGGGUGCGUAGGCGGCCUAUUAAGUCAGUGCUGAAAUAUCCCGGCUUAACCGGGAGGGUGGCAUUGAUACUGAUGGGCUUGAGUAGAGUUGAGGUUGGCGGAAUUGACGGUGUAGCGGUGAAAUGCUUAGAUAUCGUCAAGAACACCUAUUGCGAAGGCAGCUAACUAGGCUCAAACUGACGCUGAGGCACGAAAGUGUGGGGAUCAAAC
RNAcentral lists this ribosomal RNA (421 nucleotides) under uncultured bacterium. RNAcentral describes it as "bacterial SSU rRNA". It matches the Rfam family "Bacterial small subunit ribosomal RNA", at positions 360 to 773 of the family's 1533-position model. The record is from RNAcentral.